Molecule: long non-coding RNA, 1232 nt
Organism: Lolium rigidum
Lineage: Eukaryota; Viridiplantae; Streptophyta; Magnoliopsida; Poales; Poaceae
Exons: 5
Source: RefSeq, a predicted model, not a curated record
ACCUGAUUGCGCGGCCGCGACCCCACUCUCCACCUCUCCAUCCCGUCGGAACCCUCGUCCUCCCUCCGCCGCUCUAGCUCCGAGUCCCAGCUCCCAUCCAGAUCUACGCCGACCACCUCCGGCCCCGCUUCAACCGUCUCUGGAUGGACGGCAACGCGCGGUUCCCGCGCCGCCUCUUUGCAGCCUAGGUGGCCGUGCUCGUGGCUCUGCUGCUACAACUUCCCCAUGCUCGCGGGGCUCCCGUCGCAGGCGCACGCGCGCGGGAUGCUCGCCGAGGCCAUGGACCUCGUCCGCGCCAUGAUGAACUCGGAGGGACAGACCACGUCUUUGUUGCGUCGCACGAACUCGGAGCAUAUCCCAGAAGAAUCCCAGCAAGCCCAAGAACCCCCGAGCGCCCCUCUUCAUUUUCAUGUAAGCCCCCAGAUCCGGUUCAGUUCCAGCGUUUAUGUGUGUUCUGAUUGAGGUCUAAGUGUUGGUUUGUCUGUGCUAGGAGGAGAUCCCUGAAGCAUCGCAUCUCAGUCGGUGGCGUCUUCAGUUCUACACGACCUCAAAUCCCUGAUUCUCCCCAUGUCACUGCCGCAUCCACCACCACGGUGACACAUCCAUGCAGGCUUAUUCAUCUUCAUGUUCUAGUUUGUUUUGGGGUUUCACAAGUAGAGCAACGGUAAGCAAGGAAGUGAAAUUGCCAUGCUGCUGGCCCAAGUCACCUGAAAUACGCUGCUCACCAAGGUGACUAAGCACAAGCAGUUAACACCCUCUUGCCUCUUCGAGCUCCUCAGGUAAUUCUGCUGACAAUGGGUGGUUCAAGUAUUAACUUGUCGGAUCAGCAUUGAAGAAGGUCUUGUUCAUGGGUGUAGUAUAUAGUGGCAACCUGUUGAUGGAGGAGAAGAAGAUCCAGCAGAACAUCCAGAUGAGCGCCAACUUCCUCGUGUUCCUGCUCAAGAACUGGCAGAACGUGAGGUGCCUGUACAUCAAGAGGACCAUGGGGAAGCCACUGCAGUUCCACAACUUCGCGUACUUUGUGAACUGACUUUUCAGGCAAAUCUAUUGGGAAGGUGAACUGAUAAUUUUGCUGGGAAGUUGGUUGACUGCCUGUUCCUGGCUGUAGAAGAUGAUGCACGUUCUAUAUAUGUAAUGUUGAUUGCAAAAUUCCUUACCUGGGAAAUUUGAUCACAAGUUACAUGAAUGCUGAAUUCUAAUUCCUCGGCUAUAUAUUCAAAUUCUUAUGUAUA